Molecule: ribosomal RNA, 207 nt
Filed under: Triticum aestivum (bread wheat)
Lineage: Eukaryota; Viridiplantae; Streptophyta; Magnoliopsida; Poales; Poaceae
Also listed under: 1 other name
Description: rRNA SSU_rRNA_eukarya
Rfam family: Bacterial small subunit ribosomal RNA
Source: RNAcentral
GCGGUUAGGCACUCUUCAAAUAGGAAUCCAUUUUCCAACUUUCUACCCCUGCUAUUACAUGUGCUACAAUGGGCGGGACAAAGGGUCGCGAUCUCGCGAGGGUGAGCUAACUCCAAAAACCCGUCCUGAGUUCGGAUUGCAGGCUGCACCUCGCCUGCAUAAAGCAGGAAUCGCUAGUAAUCGCCGGUCAGCCAUACGGCGGUGAAU